Molecule: small RNA, 239 nt
Filed under: Paenibacillus macerans
Lineage: Bacteria; Bacillati; Bacillota; Bacilli; Caryophanales; Paenibacillaceae
Description: BsrG
Rfam family: BsrG
About the family: bsrE, bsrG and bsrH pair through intermolecular interactions with antisense sRNAs. SR4 interaction with the 3'UTR of bsrG RNA promotes bsrG degradation and inhibits its translation. SR5 also overlaps bsrG from nucleotide 163 to 52 (Rfam overlap check).
Source: Rfam by way of RNAcentral
UACAACAUAUCAGCUAACAGGGCGGCAGCCAAAUCUCCCGGAAGGGAGGUGAGGCUAUGACAGUAUAUGAAGCAUUAUCCUUGAUGCUCGCAUUCGGCAUGUUUGUGAUUGCCGUGCUGUCUUUCCAUAAACGAAAAUGAGCCGCCCUGGCAAGGAUAACGGCUCAUUUCCAAUGACCUGAAUCUGGCUGCCCGCUCUUUUAGCGGUGGUUGUACAGGGGACCGGCGCCAACCGGUCCU